This is a non-coding RNA of Triticum aestivum (bread wheat), 133 nucleotides long. Lineage: Eukaryota; Viridiplantae; Streptophyta; Magnoliopsida; Poales; Poaceae. The record is from Rfam.
AUACUACUUUCUUCGUUCAAAAUACUUGUCAUUAAAAUAAAUAAAAAGAGAUCUAUCUAGAAUUAAUAUACGUCUAAAUGCAUCCCUUUUAUUCAUUUUGAUGACAAGUAUUUCCGGACGGAGGGAGUACUUU